RNAcentral lists this transfer RNA (65 nucleotides) under Cardiastethus sp. Its description in RNAcentral is "tRNA-Trp". Lineage: Eukaryota; Metazoa; Arthropoda; Insecta; Hemiptera; Anthocoridae. The record is from RNAcentral.
AAAGCUUUAAGUUAACAAAACUAUUAACCUUCAAAGUUAAAAAUAUAAUAUUAUUGUAAGCUUUA